RNAcentral lists this ribosomal RNA (615 nucleotides) under uncultured bacterium. RNAcentral's name for it is "bacterial SSU rRNA". It matches the Rfam family "Bacterial small subunit ribosomal RNA", at positions 338 to 944 of the family's 1533-position model. The record is from RNAcentral.
CCUACGGGAGGCAGCAGUGGGGAAUUUUGGACAAUGGGCGCAAGCCUGAUCCAGCAAUGCCGCGUGAGUGAAGAAGGCCUUCGGGUUGUAAAGCUCUUUUGUCAGGGAAGAAACGGCUGAGGUUAAUACCUUUGGCUAAUGACGGUACCUGAAGAAUAAGCACCGGCUAACUACGUGCCAGCAGCCGCGGUAAUACGUAGGGUGCAAGCGUUAAUCGGAAUUACUGGGCGUAAAGCGUGCGCAGGCGGUUUUGUAAGUCUGACGUGAAAUCCCCGGGCUCAACCUGGGAAUUGCGUUGGAGACUGCAAGGCUGGAGUCUGGCAGAGGGGGGUAGAAUUCCACGUGUAGCAGUGAAAUGCGUAGAGAUGUGGAGGAACACCGAUGGCGAAGGCAGCCCCCUGGGUCAAGACUGACGCUCAUGCACGAAAGCGUGGGGAGCAAACAGGAUUAGAUACCCUGGUAGUCCACGCCCUAAACGAUGUCUACUAGUUGUCGGGUCUUAAUUGACUUGGUAACGCAGCUAACGCGUGAAGUAGACCGCCUGGGGAGUACGGUCGCAAGAUUAAAACUUAAGAGUAGUAGCGNGNGAGAGCGACGACGACGACGACGAGGAGG